CCUACGGGAGGCUGCAGUGGGGAAUAUUGCGCAAUGGGCGAAAGCCUGACGCAGCGACGCCGCGUGAGGGAUGAAGGUCUUCGGAGCGUAAACCUCUGUCAGCAGGGAAGAACGGGCACUGUGGUAAUCAGCAGUGAAUUGACGGUACCUGCAAAGGAAGCACCGGCUAACUCCGUGCCAGCAGCCGCGGUAAUACGGGGGGUGCGAGCGUUAAUCGGAAUUACUGGGCGUAAAGCGCUCGUAGGCGGUAUGUCAAGUCAAGGGUGAAAUCCCCGUGCUCAACGUGGGAACUGCCUUUGAUACUGGCAAACUGGAGUGUGUGAGAGGAUAGUGGAAUUCCAGGUGUAGGAGUGAAAUCCUUAGAUAUCUGGAGGAACCUCAGUGGCGAAGGCGACUAUCUGGCACAUAACUGACGCUGAGGCGCGAAAGCGUGGGUAGCAAACAGGAUUAGAUACCCCAGUAGUC
This 465-nucleotide ribosomal RNA is filed under the name uncultured bacterium. RNAcentral describes it as "partial 16S ribosomal RNA". It matches the Rfam family "Bacterial small subunit ribosomal RNA", at positions 338 to 795 of the family's 1533-position model. The record is from RNAcentral.